UGUGCGGGACCUUUGUGUGAUA
RNAcentral lists this non-coding RNA (22 nucleotides) under Arabidopsis thaliana (thale cress). Lineage: Eukaryota; Viridiplantae; Streptophyta; Magnoliopsida; Brassicales; Brassicaceae. The record is from RNAcentral.